UACGUAGGGUGCAAGCGUUGUCCGGAAUUAUUGGGCGUAAAGAGCUCGUAGGCGGUCUGUCGCGUCGGCUGUGAAAAUCCCCGAGGCUCAACCUCGGGUCUGCAGUCGAUACGGGGCAAACUAGAGUAUUGCAGGGGGAGACUGGAAUUCCUGGUGUAGCGGUGAAAUGCGCAGAUAUCAGGAGGAACACCGGUGGCGAAGGC
Molecule: ribosomal RNA, 203 nt
Filed under: uncultured bacterium
Lineage: Bacteria
Description: partial 16S ribosomal RNA
Rfam family: Bacterial small subunit ribosomal RNA
Source: RNAcentral